CUGGGCUUGACAUAUACCUGACCGUGCUAGAGAUAGCACUUCCCGCAAGGGCAGGUAAACAGGUGCUGCAUGGCUGUCGUCAGCUCGUGCCGUGAGGUGUUGGGUUAAGUCCCGCAACGAGCGCAACCCUUGUCAUUAGUUGCCAACACGUUAAGGUGGGAACUCUAAUGAGACUGCCUGGGUUAACCAGGAGGAAGGUGAGGAUGACGUCAAGUCCGCAUGGCCCUUAUGUCCAGGGCUACACACGUGCUACAAUGGCCGGUACAGAAGGAAGCAAAGCCGUGAGGUGGAGCAAAUCCAUAAAGCCGGCCCCAGUUCGGAUUGUAGUCUGCAACUCGACUACAUGAAGUUGGAAUUGCUAGUAAUGGCGAGUCAGCAAUAUCGCCGUGAAUACGUUCCC
Molecule: ribosomal RNA, 400 nt
Filed under: uncultured bacterium
Lineage: Bacteria
Description: bacterial SSU rRNA
Rfam family: Bacterial small subunit ribosomal RNA
Source: RNAcentral